GGGGAGGCUCCCUUGCCUGGUUUCUUAGAUUGCUUCUGUUGCCUUUUGGCAGCCUGGGCCCUGUGGCUGUUUUAGCUGCAGGUGAUGCAACCCCAGCAGCUGGACUUGAGGCUGUCUCUGCACAGAGCAGCAGGUGAACAGCCCUGUGGAGCCCCCGCCCCGCCAUGCAGCAACUGCUCCAGCCUCACAGCUGGCUCCCUCAGGAAGGCCUUCACUGGCAUUCCUACAUCCCUGGAGGAGGGACCUGCAGUGGCUCCACCACACUGAGUAGACCAUGCCGGAGGACACGCCAUGAAAGGAUAUUUCUGUGGCGGUAAUCACUGCUCCUCACUUUUCUCUCCUGUUAAAAGGAAAAC
RNAcentral lists this long non-coding RNA (356 nucleotides) under Homo sapiens (human). RNAcentral describes it as "HSALNT0015048". The record is from RNAcentral. Lineage: Eukaryota; Metazoa; Chordata; Mammalia; Primates; Hominidae.